This 74-nucleotide transfer RNA is filed under the name Lentibacillus lipolyticus. RNAcentral's name for it is "Lentibacillus sp. SSKP1-9 tRNA-Ile". It matches the Rfam family "tRNA". Rfam says of the family: Transfer RNA (tRNA) molecules are approximately 80 nucleotides in length. The record is from RNAcentral. RNAcentral also lists the same sequence under 1 other name. Lineage: Bacteria; Bacillati; Bacillota; Bacilli; Caryophanales; Bacillaceae.
GGGCCUGUAGCUCAGUUGGUCAGAGCGCACGCCUGAUAAGCGUGAGGUCGGUGGUUCAAGUCCACCCAGGCCCA